AACGCACAUUGCGCCCGCCAGCAUUCUGGCGGGCAUGCCUAUUCGAGUGUCAUUCGCACCCCUCAGGCCCUGCCUGGCGUUGGAGGACGGCGCCCGCGCAGCCUCCCAAAGCGAGCGGCGGUGGUCCCCGCGGAACCGAGCGCAGUCACGUCUCGUCUCGGGUCCCGGGGACCGUCCGGCCGGAAAACACCCCACGACUACACUACGUUGACCUCGAAUUAGGUAGGAAUACCCGCUGAACUUAA
This 245-nucleotide unclassified non-coding RNA is filed under the name uncultured fungus. Its description in RNAcentral is "partial contains 5.8S ribosomal RNA, internal transcribed spacer 2, and large subunit ribosomal RNA". The record is from RNAcentral. Lineage: Eukaryota; Fungi.